This 318-nucleotide unclassified non-coding RNA is filed under the name Hevea brasiliensis (rubber tree). Lineage: Eukaryota; Viridiplantae; Streptophyta; Magnoliopsida; Malpighiales; Euphorbiaceae. The record is from RNAcentral.
AGAUGGUAGAGGGGAUGCCUUCUCUUUUAAAUAUGAGGCUAUGCCUUCUCAUGAUGGGUGAAAAUAUAUAAUAUUGCCCACAGCAAGUUCUGAUUUCGACUCCCCAUUGUGCAUUCAAAAAUACUUAAUUCUAAUUUGAAAUGGGAAGCCAUGGGUGGAAGACUGCCCUUGGUCCCAAGUGUCCAGUUUGACCAUAAGUAAACACAAUCAAACCCUGUGCAACACUCAAUGCAGUAACAGGUACAAUGCAGACCAGACAGGAGGACAAUUCAUGAGUUCUCCAUUCCAAUCAGCCAAUCCAAUCCAGGUUUCAAAAAU